This 253-nucleotide ribosomal RNA is filed under the name uncultured bacterium. Its description in RNAcentral is "partial 16S ribosomal RNA". It matches the Rfam family "Bacterial small subunit ribosomal RNA", at positions 524 to 776 of the family's 1533-position model. The record is from RNAcentral.
UACGUAGGGUGCGAGCGUUAAUCGGAAUUACUGGGCGUAAAGCGUGCGCAGGCGGUUUUGUAAGUCCGCUGUGAAAUCCCCGGGCUUAACCUGGGAAUGGCAUUUGGGACUGCAAGGCUCGAGUGCGGCAGAGGAGACUGGAAUUCCUGGUGUAGCAGUGAAAUGCGUAGAUAUCAGGAGGAACACCGAUGGCGAAGGCAGGUCUCUGGGCUGACACUGACGCUCAUGCACGAAAGCGUGGGGAGCAAACAGG